RNAcentral lists this ribosomal RNA (880 nucleotides) under uncultured bacterium. Its description in RNAcentral is "bacterial SSU rRNA". It matches the Rfam family "Bacterial small subunit ribosomal RNA", at positions 21 to 916 of the family's 1533-position model. The record is from RNAcentral.
GGCUCAGAUUGAACGUGGGCGGUGCGCUUUAUGCAUGCAAGUCGAACGGGGUUAUGGUUUUCGGAUUGUAACCUAGUGGCAAACGGCUGAAUAACACGUAAGUAACCCGCCUUGGAGUGGGAAACAACCUGCCGAAAGGCGAGCUAAUGUCCCAUGUGGUGAUGAAGCGCAGGCUUCAUUACUAAAGCUUUCGGGUGCUCCAAGAGGGGCUUGCGUCUGAUUAGCUAGUUGGUACGGUAACGGCCUACCAAGGCGAUGAUCAGUAGCUGGUCUGAGAGGAUGGCCAGCCAGAUGGGGACUGAGACACGGCCCCAACUCCUACGGGAGGCAGCAGCAAGGAAUUUUGGGCAAUGGGCGAAAGCCUGACCCAGCGACACCGCGUGAGGGAAUAAGGCCUUCGGGUUGUAAACCUCUUUUCCUGGGGAAGAAUCUCGACGGUACCCAGGGAAUAAGCCUCGGCCAACUACGUGCCAGCAGCCGCGGUAAUACGUAGGAGGCGAACGUUAUUCGGAUUUACUGGGCGUAAAGGGAGCGUAGGCGGUUCCUUAAGUCGGAUGUGAAAUCUUCUGGCUCAAUCGGAAGGCGCCAUUUGAUACUGAGGGACUUGAGAGCAGCAGAGGGAAAUGGAAUCUGCAGUGUAGCGGUGAAAUGCGUAGAUAUUGCAGAGAACACCAGUGGCGAAGGCGGUUUUCCAGGCUGUUUCUGACGCUGAGGCUCGAAAGCGUGGGGAGCGAAGCGGAUUAGAUACCCGCGUAGUCCACGCCCUAAACGGUGGACACUAGAUAUAGGAGGUAUCGACCCUUUCUGUGUCGAAGCUAACGCUUUAAGUGUCCCGCCUGGGGAGUACGGCCGCAAGGCUGAAACUCAAAGGAAUUGACGG